CGAUGUUUCACAGAGUGGGGGAAAUGAAAGCAUCCCCCUGGAGCACCUGAAAUCACCCACACCCAGUGUAACUUGUUGUAUGGAGCCCUUGGGAAUUUUGCCCAGGGAUGGAAGGCUCUGGAUGGGAAGCUGCUGCCCCUUGGAAUGGAUGUGAUGCACUUCAUAAAAUCAUGCCAGUGACUUCAGGCAGUUUAAAAUAG
RNAcentral lists this long non-coding RNA (200 nucleotides) under Numida meleagris (helmeted guineafowl). RNAcentral's name for it is "lncRNA (ENSNMEG00000022251.1)". Lineage: Eukaryota; Metazoa; Chordata; Aves; Galliformes; Numididae. The record is from RNAcentral.